Small nucleolar RNA from Dioscorea cayenensis subsp. rotundata (Guinea yam), 81 nucleotides. RefSeq annotates it as small nucleolar RNA J33. NCBI's taxonomy places the organism in Eukaryota, Viridiplantae, Streptophyta, Magnoliopsida, Dioscoreales, Dioscoreaceae. The record is from RefSeq and is a predicted model, not a curated record. The transcript has a single exon.
CUGUGAGAGGAAUGAUGUAUUACUACAAGGCCCUCAAGAUGCUUGCUUUUCUUGAUACUGCUUCAGAGGUUGAAAUUAAGG